CAGCACAGGAAUCCAUCUUCAAAGAUGUUAUGAAAUGGCUUAAGUUACGACCAGUCAAACUACAAUAAGUUACUAUUUAAGAGGUUUUAGAAGAAAUAUUAAUCAAUACAAUCAUUAAGCAAUGUUGCCAAACAUUGUUAUGGGAGUGUGUUCAAAUUUCAGAAUACUAAAGAAACAAGGAACACUGUCAAGGUUGGUAGGCACCAAACUGGAUUUUUUUUCUCCUCAGGUUUUUUUUUCCUGUGGGAAUGUUCUAAAAUGAUUUUUUUAUCUCUGGUUUUAAAAAAAACCCCAAUAGUCCAGUAUCUGCAUGAAUCCAGAUAUAGUAGAAUGGCAUGCAUUGAGAUGGGAGUUGAAAAGGUAGCACUUAAAUGAGAUUUAAAUCACCUCCAAGGAGCUUGUAGACAAUGGCCAAACUUUAAAAGGUACAUCAAAUCUGGCAUCUGAUCUGGAUACUUGCAAAAUUGGGGGUGAGUUCUGCAGACACACAACAUUUAGAUCACUCCUUGACUUGCAUGUGCAAAUGCUUGCUAACAAGGAGUUGGGUAGACUUGGCUCUGCAUCUGAUUGUAGGGAAAGAAUUAGGAUGGGUUGAGGUAAAGUCUUGACAGUGUUCUUUUUAACAAGGCCUCUGUAACACUUACAUUAGUUUCAAGAUUAUCAACAAGACUCGUUUGCAACUUGAAACAGUUGAAGUCUGCAAGUGACUUGUUCCUAAAUGGGUGGGGUAGCUUAGUUGUGGUAUGGAAUAUGGAAAAGUGUAAGCUGUGAGACAGUGAUUAACCAGCUUUAAGAACCUAGGAUGUACUUCCUUAGCAAAGUAUGGAUCAAAGGACUCAUAAGACAGGACUUCAGCAGCCUAUUGAGUAUGGACAAGUCAGCAUAAUUAAAGAAUGACAAGGCAGCAGCAGCAACAGCAGCUUCAACUUCCAGAGAAGUGAAGGCAUAAGAUACUGUGCUGAUAGUGAGCAGCUUUCCAAAGGCUAGUUAAAUCUGCUGAAAUAUCGAAGAAAGUCUAGCAAGAGUUCUUCACCUUUUGGAACCUCCUUGAGUGAUAGCCACUUGAGUUGACACAAAAUCAAUAGGUCUAGCAUUUAGACCUGAAAGGAAGGGCAAUGAGAUAGGUAAGGUUUGCCUUUAAAAAUUUUUCAUGAAUUAGAAUAGUAGUGGUUUUUUAAACCAGGUAAGAGUAAUUUAUUUACAUUGCAGGUUGAAUGAGAAGCUGCAGCUUGACAAAAUGAGGAAUGUCUUGCAUAUCCUCUUCAGUUCAAAGGUUUCUGACUAGUUUCAGUUUCAUCAGACAAGGAGAUGAACUAAUUAUUUUAAAGAAAAGUUGGACAUAUGUUAUACCAGAAUAUCUGAAUUUCCAGGUUGACUACUGUACCUCUAAGAUAACGUUUUCCUGAACUCAGUGGUGCAAGUCUAUCCAUCAUAGAAGAAAAACUACCCUUCCAUAGAGGAUAAUGUCACAAGAUUUGAAAACAGAAAUUAAAUCUAUAAUUAAAAUGUCAGAUAAAGGCUUAAAGGAUAAUAGUGUAGUGAAACUUUACAGCUUGCAUUCAAACAAGUUUUAGAAAAGAACAUCCAUAAAUGUUAACUAUGUAUAUCAAAGUAUUGUUGAUAAUGCAUUUCUCAUUUUCUGUACGAGAAUGAACUGUAAAUUGUCAUGACUUUUUAUUAAAAGUUCUCUUUUUUGAGUAGUGUC
Long non-coding RNA from Emys orbicularis (European pond turtle), 1705 nucleotides. RefSeq lists it as uncharacterized. The transcript is spliced from 3 exons. NCBI's taxonomy places the organism in Eukaryota, Metazoa, Chordata, Testudines, Emydidae. The record is from RefSeq and is a predicted model, not a curated record.